UACCAACCUUCCCUUACCAGCCGAUAACUUCGCGUACUGCCAGGAUGUCGCGCUGUCAAACUACACCAGUGUUCCCAAUGUCAUCGUUUCGGCCGUCCAUAAGCAGUCGUUUGGAUCGACCAUUCCAGAAUACAACAGCAUUUCCGUAUGGGUGGAGUAUAUCACAAUUUUUAAGUUUCGUGUCUGCAUCAAGGAAUUGCACACACCCAAUGGCUACGAUUCGGUCUUCGUGUCGGCUAUUGUGAUGGCCUGAAAGAAUUACAAUACAGAAAAGAAUGCCUAUUUAUUGAUGAAAGAUUAUUAUAUUGCUAAAUUUAUAUCGAAAUAAAAG
Molecule: long non-coding RNA, 331 nt
Organism: Nematostella vectensis (starlet sea anemone)
Lineage: Eukaryota; Metazoa; Cnidaria; Anthozoa; Actiniaria; Edwardsiidae
Exons: 4
Source: RefSeq, a predicted model, not a curated record